This 772-nucleotide ribosomal RNA is filed under the name uncultured bacterium. RNAcentral's name for it is "bacterial SSU rRNA". It matches the Rfam family "Bacterial small subunit ribosomal RNA", at positions 8 to 796 of the family's 1533-position model. The record is from RNAcentral.
AGAGUUUGAUCCUGGCUCAGAACGAACGCUGGCGGCGUGCUUAACACAUGCAAGUCGAGUGCGCGCCUGUAGCAAUACAGGUGGCGCACGGCGCACGGGUGCGUAACACGUGGGUAACCUGCCCUUUAGUGGGGAAUAACCUCGCGAAAGCGAGGCUAAUUCCGCAUAAGAUCCGCAAGGAUGAAAGCCGAAAGGCGCUGAUGGAGGGGCCCGCGCACGAUUAGCUAGUUGGUGAGGUAAUGGCUCACCAAGGCUAUGAUCGUUAGCUGGUCUGAGAGGAUGGCCAGCCACACUGGAACUGAGACACGGUCCAGACUCCUACGGGAGGCAGCAGUGGGGAAUCUUGCACAAUGGGCGAAAGCCUGAUGCAGCGACGCCGCGUGGGGGAUGAAGCUUCUCGGAGUGUAAACCCCUUUCGACCCGGACGAAUACCUCGCAGGAGGGGUGACGGUACGGGUAUAAGAAGCCCCGGCUAACUACGUGCCAGCAGCCGCGGUAAGACGUAGGGGGCCAGCGUUGUUCGGAAUUACUGGGUGUAAAGGGUUCGUAGGCGGUGUGGCAAGUCGGGAGUGAAAUUUCUGGGCUCAACUCAGAGACUGCUUCCGAAACUGCUGUGCUGGAGUGUGGGAGAGGCGCGUGGAAUUGCAGGUGUAGCGGUGAAAUGCGUAGAUAUCUGCAGGAACACCCGUGGCGAAAGCGGCGCGCUGGACCACUACUGACGCUGAGGAACGAAAGCUAGGGGAGCAAACAGGAUUAGAUACCCUAGUAGUCC